CCAAAUCACACACACACAGAGUAAGAGACGGGCAGCAAGCUGGACCCAAAAAGAGAGAAAAAGUAGGGGAAAAGGGAAGAAAAAGGGAAAGAAGGAAGGGGAAAAAAAAGGGGAAGAAGAGGAAAAGAGAUUUUUUUGAGAGGAAUACUACUUGGAGCUCAAGUUAUUGAUUCUUGAAUUUCUAUCUAUAUUAAGGUGGUGACGAGGAGAUUGGAAGAGCCUAUCGACCAUCUUAGGUUCAACUUGUAUUAUGGAACACCGAUAAACAUGGUGAAAUUCAGAAGAAAAGA
Olea europaea var. sylvestris is the source of this 290-nucleotide long non-coding RNA. RefSeq lists it as uncharacterized. The transcript has 4 exons. The record is from RefSeq and is a predicted model, not a curated record. NCBI's taxonomy places the organism in Eukaryota, Viridiplantae, Streptophyta, Magnoliopsida, Lamiales, Oleaceae.